RNAcentral lists this transfer RNA (65 nucleotides) under Dipodomys ordii (Ord's kangaroo rat). It matches the Rfam family "tRNA". From Rfam's summary of the family: Transfer RNA (tRNA) molecules are approximately 80 nucleotides in length. Their secondary structure includes four short double-helical elements and three loops (D, anti-codon, and T loops). Further hydrogen bonds mediate the characteristic L-shaped molecular structure. tRNAs have two regions of fundamental functional importance: the anti-codon, which is responsible for specific mRNA codon recognition, and the 3' end, to which the tRNAs corresponding amino acid is attached (by aminoacyl-tRNA synthetases). tRNAs cope with the degeneracy of the genetic code in two manners: having more than one tRNA (with a specific anti-codon) for a particular amino acid; and 'wobble' base-pairing, i.e. permitting non-standard base-pairing at the 3rd anti-codon position. Lineage: Eukaryota; Metazoa; Chordata; Mammalia; Rodentia; Heteromyidae. The record is from Rfam by way of RNAcentral.
GGUGGCUCAGUGGUAGAGUGUUUGCCUCCCAUGCAUUAGACCCUGAGUUCAAUUCCUCAGUACCA